Macrobrachium nipponense is the source of this 4328-nucleotide long non-coding RNA. RefSeq lists it as uncharacterized. NCBI's taxonomy places the organism in Eukaryota, Metazoa, Arthropoda, Malacostraca, Decapoda, Palaemonidae. The transcript has 2 exons. The record is from RefSeq and is a predicted model, not a curated record.
GCAGCAGAGGUUUGAUCAUAUACGGAAUGAAGUCACACGUCUGCUACAGUUAGGACAGUGCCCAACCUGUAAAAGUCAGGGAGUAUCAGGCUUUUUAUCUGAAGUUGCUGUUCAGCCUAGCAUUGGAAGACUACCUGGAGAUGGAGGGGAAGGGCAGACUAGUUUCAGUAAACUGGAGAUAGCCCAUGCAGUUAAUAUGUCACCAGCAUCAGUUCUUGCACGCCUUGCUGCUGCUCGUCAACAUGAAAAUGUAGAAAGAGAGAAAAGGCUUUUACAACUGUCUGCCUUGGAAUCAUCUUGACAUUGGUUAAACAUUAGUUUUUAUUUUUAUAUUUUCAUAAAUUCAGUUCUGCAUACUAAUGAUAAUGACUAUUAGGUGUGUCAGGGAAACAACAACAUUGCCUACUUACUGGAACUGUCAUUUCAGUGUACGUAUUGUAGAUUGAAUCUUGAAGGAAGAAUGAAUCUUGGAAAGACAAAAUCUUGUUCACCAGCUUCACUGGGUAAGUUCCUCAUUGGACUAGCAGGUUACAUGCUCACCUACUGAUUUGGUAGUCCAUGUUUUCUUCCCCAUUUUGCCAGCGCAGAAUCAAAGGAAUUUAUUUCUGGUGAUUAGAAAUUCAUUUCUCAAUGUAAUGUAAUGUUUCGGAUCCCACAAUAAGCUGUAGGUCCUGUGCUAAGUAACCAAUUGGUUCCUAGCCACGUAAAAAAUAUCUAAUCCUUCGGGCCAGCCUUAGGAGAACUGUUAAUCAGCUCAGUGGUCUGGUUUACUUAACUGGAUGAUUUUCUUGAAAAGUGGGUUAAAUCCAGUAACUGUAACUCUUUUUGUUAAUCCAUCAAGGGUUCAUUUUUCUUAUAUGGUUUGUAUUGAAUUCUUGCUUUUAUUUAAGUAACUUACCAAGCAAUUACAUAGCUAUAGUUUCCACUCAUAUGGCCACUUAAAAUAACAAUUUUGCGGAUAGUGCUUCAAUAGUUUGUGUAGGUAACAGCCUGUCCCACUGAUGGCAUUGGAACGACCUAGCAGACAAUCUUCAUUCUUUUCCAGCCAUCCUUGGUGGCAACACUGGGUCUGACGGUAGCUUUAGUAGUUAUAUUCUGGUUAUUUUACUAGAUUCCGAUGGAGGCUUCUUUGAAUUAACCAUCGGAAUGCGUAUAUUGUAGCCUUCAAGCUGAAAUCUUUCAGGAUGAACUUUUCCAUAUUUUAUUUUUUUAGUUGAUACAGCUCAGUCAUCAGCAAACUGCAGUAAACAACAUCGUUUGCACUUAUGGUUUGUUUACUGGUUAGGCUACUGGCAGUGCUAAUACUAAUAGUUUUGCCUUAAAAGUAAUUCUCAGAUGUUAUGACGUUACAUUGUAAAAGUAAAUUGUUGUAUUACACCUUUUCAUAAGGCCAUAACUUUGACAAUUUAUGAAUUAAUUUUUUUAUUAUAAACUCUUAGCAAGCUGAUGAUGAUAGUUUUGUUUUUAAAAAUGAUUCUUGAGUGUUACAACUCCAUUAUAAAAGUAAUUGGUCUAUGUUAAUUUUUUUCAUUUGGCCAUAAAUUUUGCAAUUUAUGAAUUAUUUUAUGGCCUUAAAAUGAUAGUUUUGCUUAAAAGUAUUUCUCCGAUUACGGCAUUCAAUCAUCAAGUAACUUGUGUAUGAUAUGCCUCCUCUUUAUGCAUUAACUUUUGCUUGAGGUUCACCUGGCAUCAAGUUUAGAGGUUACGGCAUCUGCAACUCCCAGCAGCUCGACUGGCACCAGGAAUAUUUAUACCUCCAUGAGCUACCAUGGCUAACUUGGCCAUAUCUACAGACUGGUGUCAGCUGCAGUUUGUUGCUAGCUAUAGAGCUUCUUGAACUUCGAGCUGCUAGCUCGCCUGGUGCCAACUACAAGUCUGGCCCCAGCUAUAGAGCUCCAGCGCCCAGAGUUUCGCGCUCCCCUAGUGCUCACCUCAUAUGGCACCAGCUACAGUCUGGCUGCAACUUUAGAGUUUAUGGUAUCCACGAACUCCUGGUAGUUUGACAGGUGCCCAGUUCACCUGACACCCAGCUCACCUAGCACCAGCGAUAUUUAUACCAAUCCGUGAGCUUCCACGGCUCACCUGGCACCAGCUUAACAGUGUUUAAAAUUCUGGUAUACCACAGGAUAGGGACUGGCAUGGUAUACCAAGAGAAAGCAUAGGAUUUUCUCCUGUCUUUGCACCUUGUAGCGAGGUAUAAAAUUUUUAGGAGCCAGUAGGUACAAAGUACCUGAAGCUCCGACCACUCUUAGUGGAUGGGUUGUGGUAUUUCAGUGUAGGUGACAGUGUUUCUGGUUGUUUUUUAUGUUGGUACUGCACCGAGGGCAAGGGCACCUUUUAAAAGAUUUGCUAGCUAUCAGAUAACUCCUUGACUGCAUAAUUUCCACUGAUGCUUUGGUAGCCAUUGGAAUACUCCAUCACUACAAAACUCCUACUUGAGUAGAGGCGACUCUUGGUUUUACUACCACGCCCCUAUAAAUCAAGUUGAAGAACAACCAGUUGCAGUUUUAUACUGCAGGCUCUUGUAACUGAUAAGGAACAACAAGCAUUAUAUUCAAUUGCUAGCAACUUUUCUAUUUCAAAUUCAUUACAUGACUUAAUGUUUUGGAGUAGAAUACUAUGUCCAUGUAACCGACCUACUGUCAAUGUGGGAUUCAGCUGUAUAAUUACUUGGUAAGUUACAUAUAUAAAAAUGACAUUUUUAUAAUAAAAUAAAAUUGUAUAUAUAUACUUACCAAGUAAUUACAGAAUUGGAGCCCACCCUCCUCCCCUCUGAUGGACGGAAGGCAUAAAGCAAAUGAGGAUUGUCUGCUAGGUUGUUCCAAUAUUCUUUUAGUGGGAUGGGCUGUUACCUGCACAAACUAUAUUGAAACAAAAUUUUGAUUUUAAGCUGCUGUACAAGUGGAAACUAUAGCUAUGUAAUUACUUGUAAGUACAGUAUACGUAUAUGAGAUUUAUUGUAAAAAUGUCUUUUUUCAACAUUACAAGUGAUUAAGUAAAGUUCGUAGAGUACCUCAAGAUUAGUUUAGCCCCAGAUUUCAUAAUACACUGUAUCAAUGGUGGAGUAAUAGUUUUUCUAGUCAUAUUUAGUGAAUAAAUUCAAUAUUUUUACUUAACAUUGCUCAUUCAUAAUUUAAAAAAAACAGGUUUUGACAUAGGAAAAACCUAUUUUUGGUAGUCGCUGUUGCGUCCUCAAAGGAUUUACCCUUCCAUGGGACGUUGGUACAUGGGACAGCAACUAUGCUAUAAAAAAUUAUGGUUUUUCAUUGGUCUUUCUAAAUUAGGCAAUCUUGAUCAGCCAUAGAUGCAUUUGUACACGAAGGACGACCAGCAGUGAAACCCUUCUAACCUUGUGUUAAUGUUAUCAAUCAAGAUUAAAUUCUUUUCCUUAUAUGACAAGCAAAUAUGGGAGAGAAAGUCAGUACUCUGUAGAGCUUAAUUUCUUAUUUUUUUCCAUCACUUUUUAUACUUUCUUCAUAUGGUAUUUCCUUAUGUACAUUUGACCUUCUCAACUGUAUACAUACCAGUUAUCCAGGUAUACAGGGUUUACAUUCAGAGAAAAUUGAGUCUGAAGGAACCACCUGGCCCAAUAGAAGGUUAGUUUUAAUUUAGCUUGUUAGUUGAGUUUUGAGGAUAUGAAGUGUUUUUUCUUAAGUGUCCAUAUUUUUGGAUUUUUAUUAUAUAGUAUUUAGUAUAGCAUGAGUACGUAUAUAACUAUGGAACACUUUUUUUUUUAUGGAACAUUUUUUUUUACCAUUCUCAUGAUCUUGCCUUAUAUCCUUAGUAUUUGAUGGUAUAAGCAAGGCACUGUUAUUGGUAAGACUGAUCUUGUGCUGCUAAUUCUAGACCUUUUAAUUUUUCCUCUUUUACAUAUUGUUUCCUGCGGUAGCUUUUAACACAGCAUAAUCACAGAUCAUCAGCUCUCAUACAUUUGAUUUCUGACUGCAUUAACUUGACAAAAAAGUUAAAUUUUAAAACUCACUGUUUACUCAGCCACAUACUGUAUAAUUCCAAGAAAUUUAGUUCACACCACACCACAGAAAAAUACAAUUUUUGGGGGAGGAAUGAUUACGCCUCCUGCUUCUGUAAUGGCGUAUUAAUUUUCUUGAGAUAGAGCAAAUAUUGUAUCAAAAUUAUUGUUUUAGUCAGUUUCCAUUGGCAACACAUGGAGGUUGGAUUUCCUUGACAUUCUCUAGUCAUCAUUAGUUGACUUACUUUAUACCAAAGGUCCAUUUAGUAAUUGAAUUAUUUAUAUAAUGUAUAGCAUUGUCUGUUCGAAACAGUAAUUAAGGGAAAAUUUGCAAAUUUAUAAAUAAAAUUACUUUUUG